UAUUUGAAGAGUUUGAUCAUGGCUCAGAUUGAACGCUGGCGGCAGGCCUAAUACAUGCAAGUCGAACGAGAAAGCAUCUUCGGAUGUGAGUACAGUGGCGGACGGGUGAGUAAUACAUAGGAAUCUACCCAAUGGUGGGGGAUAGCUCGGGGAAACUCGAAUUAAUACCGCAUAAUCUCUACGGAGUAAAGGGGGCUUCGGCUCUCGCCAUCGGAUGAGCCUAUGAAGGAUUAGCUUGUUGGUGAGGUAAUGGCUUACCAAGGCAACGAUCCUUAGCUGGUUUGAGAGGAUGACCAGCCACAUCGGGACUGAGACACGGCCCGGACUUCUACGGAAGGCAGCAGUAGGGAAUAUUGGACAAUGAGCGAAAGCUUGAUCCAGCCAUGCCGCGUGUG
This 395-nucleotide ribosomal RNA is filed under the name SAR86 cluster bacterium. RNAcentral describes it as "bacterial SSU rRNA". It matches the Rfam family "Bacterial small subunit ribosomal RNA", at positions 1 to 405 of the family's 1533-position model. Lineage: Bacteria; Pseudomonadati; Pseudomonadota; Gammaproteobacteria. The record is from RNAcentral.